GGCGCGCCCGCAACGGUCACCAACGGCUGCCGGUCUUCGGGGACCUGCGGCGCCCCCUGCCGACACGGGCCAAAGCUGCAGGGACGCGCCCCCUUCGCUGAGGUCGCCCUGCUUGCUGACCUAGCUCCCCUCCCCGCAACCCCUACCCCUGCCUCUCCCCAAUUCCAGGACCCCAGCUCUCCAGCCAAACCAGCUCUAACAUCUUCCUGGAUUCUCUACAGCACAAGGGGAGCGAUGCUAAAGCACUCCUGACUUCACCCCAACUCACACCACCCCAGGCACCUGUCUUAGGAUGUCCUCUGAGGCCUGGGAUUAGGUCUGAUCCCCACUCGAGUCACCCCUACCCCUUCUAGCUACCCAAAGAAAACCUGUUUUCCCCCCAAACACUGGGUUUAAGAAUAAAAGCUGUUCAAUCUCCAA
Long non-coding RNA from Ornithorhynchus anatinus (platypus), 420 nucleotides. RefSeq lists it as uncharacterized. NCBI's taxonomy places the organism in Eukaryota, Metazoa, Chordata, Mammalia, Monotremata, Ornithorhynchidae. The transcript has 2 exons. The record is from RefSeq and is a predicted model, not a curated record.